GAUGAACGCUAGCUACAGGCUUAACACAUGCAAGUCGAGGGGCAGCAUGAACUUAGCUUGCUAAGUUUGAUGGCGACCGGCGCACGGGUGAGUAACACGUAUCCAACCUGCCGAUGACUCGGGGAUAGCCUUUCGAAAGAAAGAUUAAUACCCGAUGGCAUAGUUCUUCCGCAUGGUAGAACUAUUAAAGAAUUUCGGUCAUCGAUGGGGAUGCGUUCCAUUAGGUUGUUGGCGGGGUAACGGCCCACCAAGCCUUCGAUGGAUAGGGGUUCUGAGAGGAAGGUCCCCCACAUUGGAACUGAGACACGGUCCAAACUCCUACGGGAGGCAGCAGUGAGGAAUAUUGGUCAAGGGACGAGAGUCUGAACCAGCCAAGUAGCGUGAAGGAUGACUGCCCUAUGGGUUGUAAACUUCUUUUAUACGGGAAUAAAGUGAGGCACGGGUGCCUUUUUGUAUGUACCGUAUGAAUAAGGAUCGGCUAACUCCGUG
This 489-nucleotide ribosomal RNA is filed under the name uncultured bacterium. RNAcentral describes it as "partial 16S ribosomal RNA". It matches the Rfam family "Bacterial small subunit ribosomal RNA", at positions 28 to 507 of the family's 1533-position model. The record is from RNAcentral.